RNAcentral lists this ribosomal RNA (388 nucleotides) under uncultured bacterium. RNAcentral describes it as "bacterial SSU rRNA". It matches the Rfam family "Bacterial small subunit ribosomal RNA", at positions 28 to 417 of the family's 1533-position model. The record is from RNAcentral.
AACGAACGCUGGCGGCAGGCCUAACACAUGCAAGUCGAGCGGUAAGGCCCUUUCGGGGGUACACGAGCGGCGAACGGGUGAGUAACACGUGGGUGACCUGCCCUCAGCUCUGGGAUAAGCCUGGGAAACCGGGUCUAAUACCGGAUAUGACUCCAUGACGCAUGUUGUGGGGUGGAAAGCCUUGUGCGGCUGAGGAUGGGCCCGCGGCCUAUCAGCUUGUUGGUGGGGUGAUGGCCUACCAAGGCGACGACGGGUAGCCGGCCUGAGAGGGCGACCGGCCACACUGGGACUGAGACACGGCCCAGACUCCUACGGGAGGCAGCAGUGGGGAAUCUUGCGCAAUGGGCGAAAGCCUGACGCAGCGACGCCGCGUGAGGGAUGACGGCCU